UGGGCUGUAAAAAGCCAUAAGUAACACCAACCAUACAUCCUAACUUUACAACACCUUCAACUCGUGAAAGCAAGGACACAAACUAAGAUUAGAUACCUUACUAUGCCUAGCUAUAAAUAAACAAUCAAAUAACGAAUUGUUCGCCAAACAACUACGAGUGAAAACUUAAAACUUAAAAGACUUGACGGUACUUCACACCAACCUAGAGGAGCCUGUCUAACAACCGAUAAUCCACGAUUAACCCAACCACUCCUAGCCUAACAGUCUAUAUACCGCCGUCGCCAGCCUACCUUGUGAAAGUAAUAAAGUAGGCACAAUAGCACACAUGCUAAUACGACAGGUCGAGGUGUAACUAAUGGGGUGGAUAAGAUGGGCUACAUUUUCUACCACAGAACAGACGAACAGACCAUGAAACUGGGAACUGAAGGAGGAUUUAGCAGUAAGCCAAGAAUAAAAUACCUAGCUGAAAUAUGCAAUGAAGUGCGUACACACCGCCCGUCAUCCCUG
This 507-nucleotide ribosomal RNA is filed under the name Malpolon insignitus (Eastern Montpellier snake). Its description in RNAcentral is "partial 12S ribosomal RNA". It matches the Rfam family "Bacterial small subunit ribosomal RNA", at positions 674 to 1405 of the family's 1533-position model. The record is from RNAcentral. Lineage: Eukaryota; Metazoa; Chordata; Lepidosauria; Squamata.